Molecule: ribosomal RNA, 497 nt
Filed under: uncultured bacterium
Lineage: Bacteria
Description: partial 16S ribosomal RNA
Rfam family: Bacterial small subunit ribosomal RNA
Source: RNAcentral
GAUGAACGCUGGCGGCGUGCCUAAUACAUGCAAGUCGAGCGAACAGACGAGGAGCUUGCUCCUCUGACGUUAGCGGCGGACGGGUGAGUAACACGUGGAUAACCUACCUAUCAGACUGGGAUAACUUCGGGAAACCGGCGCUAAUACCGGAUAAUAUAUUGCACCGCAUGGUUCAAUAGUGAAAGACGGUUUUGCUGUCACUUAUAGAUGGAUCCGCGCCGCAUUAGCUAGUUGGUAAGGUAACGGCUUACCAAGGCGACGAUGCGUAGCCGACCUGAGAGGCUGAUCGGCCACACUGGAACUGAGACACGGUCCAGACUCCUACGGGAGGCAGCAGUAGGGAAUCUUCCGCAACGGGCGAAAGCCUGACGGAGCAACGCCGCGUGAGUGAUGAAGGUCUUCGGAGCGGAAAACUCUGUUAUUAGGGAAGAACAAAUGUGUAAGUAACUAUGCACGUCUUGACGGUACCUAAUCAGAAAGCCACGGCUAACUACGUG